AUUGAACGCUGGCGGCAGGCUUAACACAUGCAAGUCGAGCGGUAACAGAGAGAAGCUUGCUUCUCUGCUGACGAGCGGCGGACGGGUGAGUAAUGCCUAGGAAUCUGCCUAGUAGUGGGGAUAACUUGCCGAAAGGUAAGCUAAUACCGCAUACGUCCUACGGGAGAAAGGAGGGGACCUUCGGGCCUUUCGCUAUUAGAUGAGCCUAGGUCGGAUUAGUUAGUUGGUGAGGUAAUGGCUCACCAAGACCGCGAUCCGUAACUGGUCUGAGAGGAUGAUCAGUCACACUGGAACUGAGACACGGUCCAGACUCCUACGGGAGGCAGCAGUGGGGAAUAUUGGACAAUGGGGGGAACCCUGAUCCAGCCAUGCCGCGUGUGUGAAGAGGUCUUAGGAUUGUAAAGCACUUUAAGUUGGGGGGAAGAGCAGUUAACUAAUAUUUGACUGUUUUGACGUUACCGACAGAAUAAGCACCGGCUAACUUCGUGCCAGCCGCCGCGGUAA
RNAcentral lists this ribosomal RNA (504 nucleotides) under uncultured bacterium. RNAcentral describes it as "partial 16S ribosomal RNA". It matches the Rfam family "Bacterial small subunit ribosomal RNA", at positions 30 to 523 of the family's 1533-position model. The record is from RNAcentral.